AGGACGAACGCUGGCGGCGUGCUUAACACAUGCAAGUCGAGCGGAAAGGCCCUUCGGGGUACUCGAGCGGCGAACGGGUGAGUAACACGUGAGCAACCUGCCCUUAGCUUCGGGAUAGCUCCGGGAAACCGGAUUAAUACCGGAUAUGACUAUGGCCGACAUCAGCCAUGGUGGAAAGUUUUUCGGCUAGGGAUGGACUCGCGGCCUAUCAGCUAGUUGGUGAGGUAACGGCUCACCAAGGCGACGACGGGU
This 252-nucleotide ribosomal RNA is filed under the name uncultured bacterium. Its description in RNAcentral is "partial small subunit ribosomal RNA". It matches the Rfam family "Bacterial small subunit ribosomal RNA", at positions 26 to 284 of the family's 1533-position model. The record is from RNAcentral.